GAGAGAGACAUGCGCGCAUAUCAAUAAGCGGAGGAAAAGAAACUAACAAGGAUUCCCUUAGUAACGGCGAGUGAAGCGGGAAGAGCUCAAAUUUGAAAUCUUCAAGGUUUUACCUUGACGAAUUGUAGUUUAAAGAAGUGUUUUCUGCUGAAGUUUUGGUAAAAGUUCUUUGGAAUAGGACAUCAUAGAGGGUGAGAAUCCCGUAUUUGACCAUUAUUUUCAGCUUUGUGAUACACUUUCAAAGAGUCGGAUUGUUUGGGAAUGCAGUCCAAAAUGGGUGGUAAAUUUCAUCUAAAGCUAAAUAUUGGCGUAGAGACCGAUAGCGAACAAGUACCGUGAGGGAAAGAUGAAAAGAACUUUGAAAAGAGAGUUAAACAGUACGUGAAAUUGUCAAAAGGGAAGCGUUUGACACCAGUGUUGUUUUCUCGAAAAUCAAUUAAAAAUGGCUCGAUUUUGUAUUGCUUGAGACCUUAAAAGCUCACUGUACAUUUUUCGUGUCCUUUUUAAUGCACUUUUCGUUUAACAAGUCAACAUCAGUUUCUUUUGUUGUAAAAGGGUCAUUGGAAGGUGGCUUUCUUUUCGGAGAAAGUGUUUAUAGCCUUUGGCCUCUGCAAUCGAAGAGACUGAGGUCUGCAGCGUAGACUCUUCGGGGUUAGAUACAUUUGUGCUAAGUUAUAGCUUUUUAUAGACAACUUGUUGACUAUAAUUAGUCUUGUAGCUUACUCGCUUAUGCUAUUUUACCUACGCUUAGGAUGUUGAAGUCAUCGUAUCGCGC
RNAcentral lists this ribosomal RNA (775 nucleotides) under uncultured Neocallimastigales. RNAcentral describes it as "partial large subunit ribosomal RNA". It matches the Rfam family "Eukaryotic large subunit ribosomal RNA", at positions 23 to 645 of the family's 3401-position model. Lineage: Eukaryota; Fungi; Neocallimastigomycota; Neocallimastigomycetes; Neocallimastigales. The record is from RNAcentral.